Sorex araneus (European shrew) is the source of this 2108-nucleotide long non-coding RNA. RefSeq lists it as uncharacterized. The transcript has 3 exons. NCBI's taxonomy places the organism in Eukaryota, Metazoa, Chordata, Mammalia, Eulipotyphla, Soricidae. The record is from RefSeq and is a predicted model, not a curated record.
GUUGGGGAUUAUAAAAGCUCCGGCUCUUUCUCCCACUUUCUGCUAUUUCUCCAGGCCAAGUUGUUGGACCAAAAGGAACUGAUCAUUUAUUGAAGAAACUGAAGAUGUGGAAGCUCCAGACCUUCAUUACCGGAAGGGCUUCAAAACUGUGGCUGCAUAGGACAACCAUCCAGGAGCCAGAGGAGAGCUUCUGGGAAAAAAAUCAACACUCAUAAGCAAGAUGACUUCUAAGGUUCAGACGCAACACAGCUCAAGAAGUCAACUGGUCUUUGGCUGCUGGAAGUGCUGCAGUUGUGAAAGGAUCACAAUAGGAAAGAAAUAAGUGGACUCAAAGCUUGGAGCAGGUAAGUUCAGCACUUAAGGUGUUUGCCUUGCAUGCGGUCAACCCCAAGUUUAAUCCCUGGCAUCCUAUAUGGUACCCAGAACUCACCAGGAGUGAUUCUUGAGUGCAGAGCCAGGACUAACCUAUGAGCAGUGCCGGGUGUGGCCCAGAAACCAUAUGAAUAAAUAAAUGAGUGGAUUCAUUUUUAAAGUCAAGGACAGCCUACACUGAAUUAAGGAUAAUAUUUUGGAAGCCAAAGACUUAGCUCAAAGGGCCAGCGUUUGUGCUUUGCAUGUGGGAGUCCUGGAUUCAAUCCCUGGCCCUGGGGGAAGUCACUGCUGAGCACUGACCUGAAGUAGCCCUGAGAACCAAUUGGCCUGCUCAAAAACAAACCAAAAAAGUAGUUAUUUUAAAAAUAAUUAAUUUAUUACAUAUGAUAUUGGACUGGAGCGAUAGCACAGCUGGAAGGGCAUUUGCUUUGCACCCGGCCAACCUGAGUUCAAUUCUUCCGCCCUUCUCAGAGAGCCCAGUAAGCUAUCGAGAGUAUUAUGGGCACAUCUUUUCGACUCCACCGUUCUUCCUGCACUAACAUACGCCUCAGAGACCUGGGCCCUACGAAAACAGAAUAAGAACGUUAUUCGGGUCUCCCAAAGAGGAAUCGAAAGAACUAUGCUUGGAAUAUCACAUUUCACUCAAGUGAGAGAAGGAAUCUGGAGUUCCGACCUCCGUCAAUGAUCGAGAAUCAAGGAUGCUGUCUUGUUUACCUAAGCGUCGAAAAUCAGAUGGGCUGGACACAUAAUUCGAUUUGGAGGCGAUUGCUGGACUAGAGCUGUUGCCGACUGGAUUACACAGGACAUCAAAAGAAUGCCUGGCUGCCCACCUACGAGAUGGUCAGAUUUCUUCGUCAAGAUCCUGAAUGAAUGGUUUGAGGCUCUUCAUGUUCCUAGAGCGAGCAGACGCCAUUGGGCUACACUAGUACGCAACAGGGAUGAAUGGAGACGUUACUGGCGACUGCUCCAGCAAAUCGAUGACCAAUGGGAUGACAAAUGAUACAAACGAUAUGAUAUUAUAUUUAACGUCCUAAAAUAUUUUUUUCAGGUUUUGCAUUCUAUGUACCAUGUCAGCUUCAUUGAUCUUUUCUUUCAGACUAGACUAUAUAGUGUCUGAUUCCUCAAAGCUGGAAAGGUAGCCCAAGGGCUGAGUGCAUGCUUUGCCUGUGGAAGUUCUGAGUUUAAUCUUGGCACUACAUGGUCCUUUGAACAUCACCAAGAAUGAUACCAGAGCACUGAGUUUGGAGUAAACCUGAGCACCGCCAAGUAUAAUCCAAACCUACCUCCUAUUGCAAAAAAGUAUCUACAGCUUAUUUUUCCUUGCCCAGGGAGCCUGGUACAAACUACUGAGUAAUAAUAGAUGGAUACACAUGUAAAUGAUACUUAACAUUACAGUAAUCAGGGGCUGGAGUGAUAGUACAGCAGGUAGGGCAUUUGCAUUGCACGUGGGUGACCCAAGUUCAAUUCCCAGCAUCCCAUAUGGUCCUCUGAGCACCUCCAGGAGUGAUUCCUGAGUGCAGAGCCAGGAGUCAGCCCUGAGCAUCGAUGGGUGUGACCCAAAAAACCAAAAACAAAAAAGCCAAACAUUACAGUAAUCAGUGUAUGUAUAUAGUUGUUACUAUUGAUUGCUUUAAUCAGUUAAACCAUAUUGUAGAUUCUAAUAUUCCCAGAUCCCACAGAAAGCAUAGUAAAAUGCUGUGUCUAUAUAUUUCCAUUUGCAAUUCUGGAUAUGUAUG